UACAGAGGGGGCAAGCGUUAUUCGGAAUUAUUGGGCGUAAAGGGCGCGUAGGCGGCAUGGCAAGUGGAUGGUGAAAUCCCUCGGCUUAACCGAGGAACUGCCGUCCAAACUGCUUCGCUUGAGACCGGGAGAGGUGAGUGGAAUUCCCAGUGUAGCGGUGAAAUGCGUAGAUAUUGGGAGGAACACCAGUGGCGAAGGCGGUCUGCUGGGCAGUUGCUGACACUGAUGCGCGACAGCGUGGGGAGCAAACAGG
This 253-nucleotide ribosomal RNA is filed under the name uncultured bacterium. RNAcentral describes it as "partial 16S ribosomal RNA". It matches the Rfam family "Bacterial small subunit ribosomal RNA", at positions 524 to 776 of the family's 1533-position model. The record is from RNAcentral.